AAGCCUGAUCCAGCCAUGCCGCGUGAGUGAUGAAGGCCCUAGGGUUGUAAAGCUCUUUCACCGGUGAAGAUAAUGACGGUAGCCGGAGAAGAAGCCCCGGCUAACUCCGUGCCAGCAGCCGCGGUAAUACGGAGGGGGCUAGCGUUGUUCGGAAUUACUGGGCGUAAAGCGCACGUAGGCGGGUAUCCAAGUUGGGGGUGAAAUCCCGGGGCUCAACCCCGGAACUGCCUCCAAAACUGGGUACCUAGAGUCCGAGAGAGGUGAGUGGAGUUCCCAGUGUAGAGGUGAAAUUCGUAGAUAUUGGGAAGAACACCAGUGGCGAAGGCGGCUCACUGGCUCGGUACUGACGCUGGGGUGCGACAGCGUGGGGAGCAAACAGGGUUAGAUACCCUGGUAGUCCACGCCGUAAACGAUGAGAGCUAGUUGUCGGGCAGCAUGCUGUUCGGUGACGCAGCUAACGCAUUAAGCUCUCCGCCUGGGGAGUACGGUCGCAAGAUUA
This 499-nucleotide ribosomal RNA is filed under the name uncultured bacterium. RNAcentral describes it as "bacterial SSU rRNA". It matches the Rfam family "Bacterial small subunit ribosomal RNA", at positions 379 to 896 of the family's 1533-position model. The record is from RNAcentral.